CGGCGUGACCCGGAAGCUCGCGUGGUGUAGCGCGGACCGAGGGCCGCUGGGCAGCAAAUCCUAACUGCUUCGGGUUCCUGUGCGCUGCUCGGUCGCUCCUGCCCCAACGUGUCCCCCAGCGUGGGACCGUCCCCGUCCUAGAAAAAGUUUUACCUUGCUCUAGGGAGAAUUUCCCUAGCGCCUCCCGCGGCAGGGUUCCCCCCUCUGGGAGUUUCGUCUGAGAGAAGGGGCCGAAGGCUCGCUGAGCAGAGACGGGGUUUCACCAUAUUGGUCAGGCUGGUCUUACCAUAUUGGUCAAGCUGAUCUCGAACCCCUGACCUCGUGAUCCGCCCGCCACGGCCUCCCAAAGUGCUGGAAUUACAGGCGUGAGCCACCGCGCCAAGCCCCUGGUUUCUUUACAAGAGAAGAUUGAAUCUAGACACACAGACUGAGGGGCCACCCAGGUGAAGACACGGCAAGAAGGCGCCACCUACCGGCCAAGAAGAACCGCCUCACCGGAAGCAACGCUGCUGGCACCUUAAUCUAGGACUUCCGAGCCUCCAAAACUCUUCAGGAAUAUCUGUUAUUUCCCGAAGAUGUUUGGAUGUUAUCCCCUUCGAAUCUCACGUUGAAUUAUAAUCCCCAAUACCGGAGGUGGGACGUGGUUGGAGGUGACUGGAUGGAUCAUGGAGGUGAAUUUCUGGCGCAUGGCUUACAGCCAUUCCCUGGGUGUUGUCCUCCUGAUAGUAAGUGAGUUCUCCUGAGAUCUGCUUGUGGUACUUCCUCCCCGUUCUCUCUUUUGCUCCAACUCUUGCCAAGUGAGAUGUCAGCUCCUUUUCACUAGCACCACACUUCCUGUACAGCCUAUAGAACUGCGAGCCAAUUAAACCUCUUUUCUUUAUAAAUCACCCAGCCUUAGGGAUUUCUUUAUAGCAGCACAAGAACAGAUUAACACACCUGCUAAAAAAGUGGCCGGGCACGGUGGCUCACACCCGUAUUUCCAGUAAUUUGGGAAGCUGAGGUGGGCGGAUUACCUGAGGUCAGGAGUUCAAGCCCAGCCUGGCCAACAUGGUGAAACCCCAUCUCUACUAAAAAUACAAAAAUUAGCUGGGUGUGGUGGUGCAUGCAUGUAAUCCCAGCUACCCAGGAGGCUGAGGCAGAAAAAUUACUUGAAACCAGGAGGUAGAAGCUGCAGUGAGUUGGUCUUGAACUCCUGACAUUGUGAUCUGCCUGCCUUGGCCUCCCAAAGUGCUAGGAUUACAAGUGUGAGCCACUGUGCCUGGCCAAGAAUUAUCUCUUUUUGGCCAAUUUUUGUAUUUUUAGUAGAGACAGGGUUUCACCAUGUUAGUCAGGCUGGUCUCAAACUCCUGACCUCAUGAUCUGCCCACCUUGGCCUCCGAAA
Non-coding RNA from Callithrix jacchus (white-tufted-ear marmoset), 1381 nucleotides. The record is from RefSeq and is a predicted model, not a curated record. Lineage: Eukaryota; Metazoa; Chordata; Mammalia; Primates; Cebidae.